RNAcentral lists this non-coding RNA (265 nucleotides) under Triticum aestivum (bread wheat). RNAcentral describes it as "Eukaryotic small subunit ribosomal RNA". It matches the Rfam family "Eukaryotic small subunit ribosomal RNA", at positions 57 to 318 of the family's 1831-position model. Lineage: Eukaryota; Viridiplantae; Streptophyta; Magnoliopsida; Poales; Poaceae. The record is from Rfam by way of RNAcentral.
GUGCAAAUAUGAACCAAUUUGAAUGGUGAAACUGCGAAUGACUCAUUAAAUCAGUUAUAGUUUGUUUGAUGGUACGUGCUACUCGGAUAACCGUACUAAUUCUAGAGAUAAUACGUGUAACAAACCACGACUUCUGGGAGGGGCGCAUUUAUUAGAUAAAACGCUGACGCGGGCUCUGCUCGCUCAUCCGGUGAUUCAUGUUAACUCGACGGAUCGCACGGCCCCACAACGACGAAGCACACCAACCGGACUAGCAGACCCUCAG